This is a long non-coding RNA of Strongylocentrotus purpuratus (purple sea urchin), 1232 nucleotides long. RefSeq lists it as uncharacterized. The record is from RefSeq and is a predicted model, not a curated record. NCBI's taxonomy places the organism in Eukaryota, Metazoa, Echinodermata, Echinoidea, Camarodonta, Strongylocentrotidae. The transcript is spliced from 4 exons.
UCGUACUUUUUUCAUGUUAACAACAUUCUUGCCAUAGUUAACUUUAGCACCUGGCAGCCAUGGUUUAUUUUUCUCGAUUGACUAAUCAUGGUUUUCUGAAACCUCGUUCUCCAUAUUUUAGCGAGUGGAUUUUCCCGUUUCACGGACAUUUUCAUUAGCGAUUUUUCUCAACUCGCUCAGUUCUCAUUCGCAUGCUGGUUGCUACACUCCGCUACAACCCCGUCUACAACGCUUGUUGCUCGUCAGAUGCGGCCAUCUUGUUUUCGCUUAUUCGAGGCCUCCGGUAUUUAGUAACAUUAAUUUAUAGCGUGAAUAUAAUAAUUCGGAAUUCUGUUCGUCUAGUGUAUAUUCUACUUCGGAUAAAAGGAAGCUGGACUUGUUUACAUUUUCGACUCUAUAAUCACUUUUACUGACAUCAGGAUUUCCGAUAGAAUUUGUGUAUAUAAUUUUGCACGGGGACUUUACUUCAUAUCCGAACACUAUAGCGUGAAUAUAAUAAUUCAGAAUUCUGUUCGUCUAGUGUAUUUUCUACUUUGGAUAAAAGGAAGCUGGGCAUGUUUCGACUCUAUAAUCACUUUUCCUGACAUCAGGAUUUCCAAUAGAAUUUGUGUAUAUAAUUUUGCACGGGGACUUCAUAUCCGAACACUUUAGCUGAGGAACCCAACUACAGUAGAAGUGUCGAGUUUCAUUUGCCCAUCAUCAACCUACACCUUUUCCACUAGUAGUCUACUUCUGUUUUUCGUCAUCUACACGCAACUUCAAGUUCUACUAGUUACAUUUGUUCAAUCUGAAGUGGAGGGGCUGAUGCGAUGAAUUUCCAAAACCCUGAAUCGUUUUUUAAACUGGUCCUAAUUGGGGCUAUAAUGGGUACUCUGGUAUACAUCGCUAAUAUGGAUAACGUAUCAUACACAAAAUACAGAUUUGCUGAAUCACACAUAGUCUACGUAGAAAAUGAACUUUCAUUUCUCAGAAAAGAACAUCAAUAUAAUCAUACAACAAGACCGAGGCAUCCUCGUCCAUUUAUCACAAUUGCUCCAAAUAAUUCAGAACUGUCCUUCAGGAUAGAUCAAAAGUUUACUUUGUCUUCGUGUCCGUAUUCAUUGCAUGCCAAACUACAAGAGUCGCACUGGGCUUCCCAGUACUAUCGACCUGGAGUAAAGAUGAUCAUGACAAAUGGCAAUAUUAACCAGGAAGAAUAUCGACGCUUGAAUAAAUACGAUAUGCCGUUCGGA